UGUCAGAAGUGGGAUUCGAACCCACGCCCACAUUCGUGGACCAGAACACUCAGAGCUCUGCAACAGAGCAAGGAAUUACCCUUGAGUCUGGCGCCUUAGACCGCUCGGCCAUCCUGAC
RNAcentral lists this transfer RNA (118 nucleotides) under Araneus ventricosus. Its description in RNAcentral is "tRNA-Leu". Lineage: Eukaryota; Metazoa; Arthropoda; Arachnida; Araneae; Araneidae. The record is from RNAcentral.